GGGGAUGUGGCUCAGAGGUAGAGCACUUGCCUAGUGUGUAUGAGGCACUGGGUUUGAUCCUCAGCACCA
Molecule: transfer RNA, 69 nt
Filed under: Ictidomys tridecemlineatus (thirteen-lined ground squirrel)
Lineage: Eukaryota; Metazoa; Chordata; Mammalia; Rodentia; Sciuridae
Description: Spermophilus tridecemlineatus (thirteen-lined ground squirrel) tRNA
Rfam family: tRNA
About the family: Transfer RNA (tRNA) molecules are approximately 80 nucleotides in length. Their secondary structure includes four short double-helical elements and three loops (D, anti-codon, and T loops). Further hydrogen bonds mediate the characteristic L-shaped molecular structure. tRNAs have two regions of fundamental functional importance: the anti-codon, which is responsible for specific mRNA codon recognition, and the 3' end, to which the tRNAs corresponding amino acid is attached (by aminoacyl-tRNA synthetases). tRNAs cope with the degeneracy of the genetic code in two manners: having more than one tRNA (with a specific anti-codon) for a particular amino acid; and 'wobble' base-pairing, i.e. permitting non-standard base-pairing at the 3rd anti-codon position.
Source: Rfam by way of RNAcentral